Camelus dromedarius (Arabian camel) is the source of this 342-nucleotide long non-coding RNA. RefSeq lists it as uncharacterized. The record is from RefSeq and is a predicted model, not a curated record. NCBI's taxonomy places the organism in Eukaryota, Metazoa, Chordata, Mammalia, Artiodactyla, Camelidae. The transcript is spliced from 3 exons.
GAUCUUAUCUUGCAGGAAACCAUGAAUUCACUGUGGAGAAGGAUGAUUGGGAUUUCGCUCUGGAGAAGCUAGAAAUUGGAUAUGAAAUCUCCCAAUUUUUAGAUAUUGGAAAAGCAGCCCUGAUGGCUUGGACCCGGCUCUAAACUUGGAAUUGUCUCACAUGGACCUGAAUCGCCCUCACCCACGACGAGAUUAAUCUCGCCGCAUUGAAACCUCUGGAAACCUGGCAUGUAAUUUCCUUUUCAGAUUGGAAGUCCACCUAAGAAACAGCCACAGCCCGUUAACAAAUGUGGGGAGGCGGGGUGGGUAAGCUUGUUUGCAAUCCAAGACACACAAAUAAAA